RNAcentral lists this ribosomal RNA (363 nucleotides) under Hydrogenophaga crassostreae. Its description in RNAcentral is "bacterial SSU rRNA". It matches the Rfam family "Bacterial small subunit ribosomal RNA", at positions 981 to 1344 of the family's 1533-position model. Lineage: Bacteria; Pseudomonadati; Pseudomonadota; Betaproteobacteria; Burkholderiales; Comamonadaceae. The record is from RNAcentral.
UUGACAUGUAUGGAAGUUUCCAGAGAUGGAUUCGUGCUCGAAAGAGAGCCAUAACACAGGUGCUGCAUGGCUGUCGUCAGCUCGUGUCGUGAGAUGUUGGGUUAAGUCCCGCAACGAGCGCAACCCUUGUCAUUAGUUGCUACAUUUAGUUGGGCACUCUAAUGAGACUGCCGGUGACAAGCCGGAGGAAGGUGGGGAUGACGUCAAGUCCUCAUGGCCCUUAUAGGUGGGGCUACACACGUCAUACAAUGGCCGGUACAAAGGGUCGCAAACCCGCGAGGGGGAGCUAAUCCAUCAAAGCCGGUCGUAGUCCGGAUCGCAGUCUGCAACUCGACUGCGUGAAGUCGGAAUCGCUAGUAAUCG